CCUACGGGAGGCAGCAGUGGGGAAUCUUGCGCAAUGGGCGAAAGCCUGACGCAGCAACGCCGCGUGCGGGAAGAAGGCUUUCGGGCUGUAAACCGCUUUCAGCAGGAACGAAAGUGACGGUACCUGCAGAAGAAGGAGCGGCCAACUAUGUGCCAGCAGCCGCGGUGAUACAUAGGCUUCAAGCGUUGUCCGGAUUUAUUGGGCGUAAAGAGUUCGUAGGCGGUCGAGUAAGUCGGGUGUGAAAAUUCUGGGCUCGAACCCAGAGACGCCACCCGAUACUGCUUGACUUGAGUUCGAUAGGGGAGUGGGGAAUUCCUAGUGUAGCGGUGAAAUGCGCAGAUAUUAGGAGGAACACCGGUGGCGAAGGCGCCACUCUGGAUCGAUACUGACGCUGAGGAACGAAAGCAUGGGUAGCAAACAGGAUUAGAUACCCUGGUAGUCCAUGCCGUAAACGGUGGGCACUAGGUGUGGGUUUCUAUUAACGAAAUCCGCGCCGUCGCUAACGCAUUAAGUGCCCCGCCUGGGGAGUACGGUCGCAAGACUAAAACUCAAAUGAAUUGACGGCUGAGAGNGCGAGCGACACGAGGAGAG
This 591-nucleotide ribosomal RNA is filed under the name uncultured bacterium. Its description in RNAcentral is "bacterial SSU rRNA". It matches the Rfam family "Bacterial small subunit ribosomal RNA", at positions 338 to 943 of the family's 1533-position model. The record is from RNAcentral.